This 294-nucleotide ribosomal RNA is filed under the name Triticum aestivum (bread wheat). RNAcentral's name for it is "partial small subunit ribosomal RNA". Lineage: Eukaryota; Viridiplantae; Streptophyta; Magnoliopsida; Poales; Poaceae. The record is from RNAcentral.
GAGGGGUGGAGCGGUACGCCCGUCGCUCCGGCGAUGCUUGACAAUAUCCCUCCAGCUUGUCGAUGUCCGAUGAUGAAGAUGUUUGGCCUCGUUAGCUCAAACAGAUGGGCGGCCUUCGCCUUGUCGGUUCCCGGCCUGGUGGUGUCCGCCUCGUCGGUGUCGGACAUGGUGGCUUUCCUUCGCCUCGUUGGUGCCCGGCAAGAUAGGUGUAGCUUCAUCGGAAGAAAAACAUGUCGGUGAAGUGGUUUCACCUCGUCAGAUCUUGGACGAUGUUGGGGAAAGGUGUUAAUGUAG